CUGGGAGGACCAUCUCCUAAGGCUAAAUACUCUCUAGUGACCGAUAGUGAACCAGUACCGUGAGGGAAAGGUGAAAAGCACCCCGGAAGGGGAGUGAAAUAGAACCUGAAACCGUGUGCUUACAAGUAGUCAGAGCCCGUUAAUGGGUGAUGGCGUGCCUUUUGUAGAAUGAACCGGCGAGUUACGAUUUGAUGCAAGGUUAAGCAGUAAAUGUGGAGCCGUAGCGAAAGCGAGUCUGAAUAGGGCGUUUAGUAUUUGGUCGUAGACCCGAAACCAGGUGAUCUACCCUUGGUCAGGUUGAAGUUCAGGUAACACUGAAUGGAGGACCGAACCGACUUACGUUGAAAAGUGAGCGGAUGAACUGAGGGUAGCGGAGAAAUUCCAAUCGAACCUGGAGAUAGCUGGUUCUCUCCGAAAUAGCUUUAGGGCUAGCCUCAAGUGAUGAUUAUUGGAGGUAGAGCACUGUUUGGACGAGGGGCCCCUCUCGGGUUACCGAAUUCAGACAAACUCCGAAUGCCAAUUAAUUUAACUUGGGAGUCAGAACAUGGGUGAUAAGGUCCGUGUUCGAAAGGGAAACAGCCCAGACCACCAGCUAAGGUCCCAAAAUAUAUGUUAAGUGGAAAAGGAUGUGGCGUUGCCCAGACAACUAGGAUGUUGGCUUAGAAGCAGCCAUCAUUUAAAGAGUGCGUAAUAGCUCACUAGUCGAGUGACACUGCGCCGAAAAUGUACCGGGGCUAAACAUAUUACCGAAGCUGUGGAUUGUCCUUUGGACAAUGGUAGGAGAGCGUUCUAAGGGCGUUGAAGCAUGAUCGUAAGGACAUGUGGAGCGCUUAGAAGUGAGAAUGCCGGUGUGAGUAGCGAAAGACGGGUGAGAAUCCCGUCCACCGAUUGACUAAGGUUUCCAGAGGAAGGCUCGUCCGCUCUGGGUUAGUCGGGUCCUAAGCUGAGGCCGACAGGCGUAGGCGAUGGAUAACAGGUUGAUAUUCCUGUACCACCUAUAAUC
RNAcentral lists this ribosomal RNA (1003 nucleotides) under Staphylococcus aureus. RNAcentral's name for it is "partial 23S ribosomal RNA". It matches the Rfam family "Bacterial large subunit ribosomal RNA", at positions 444 to 1455 of the family's 2925-position model. The record is from RNAcentral. Lineage: Bacteria; Bacillati; Bacillota; Bacilli; Caryophanales; Staphylococcaceae.